GAUGAACGCUGGCGGUGUGCCUAAUACAUGCAAGUCGAGCGAACAGACGAGGAGCUUGCUCCUCUGACGUUAGCGGCGGACGGGUGAGUAACACGUGGAUAACCUACCUAUAAGACUGGGAUAACUUCGGGAAACCGGAGCUAAUACCGGAUCAUAUAUUGAACCGCAUGGUUCAAUAGUGAAAGACGGUUUUGCUGUCACUUAUAGAUGGAUCCGUGUCGCAUUAGCUAGUUGGUAAGGUAACGGCUUACCAAGGCAACGAUGCGUAGCCGACCUGAGAGGAUGAUCAGCCACACUGGAACUGAGACACGGUCCAGACUCCUACGGGAGGCAGCAGUGGGGAAUCUUCCGCAAUGGGCGAAAGCCUGACGCAGCAAUGCCGCGUGAGUGAUGAAGGUCUUCGGAUCGUAAAACUCUGUUAUUAGGAAAGAACAACUGUGUAAGUAACUCUGCACGUCUUGACGGUACCUAAUCAGAAAGCCACGGCUAACUACGUG
Molecule: ribosomal RNA, 497 nt
Filed under: uncultured bacterium
Lineage: Bacteria
Description: partial 16S ribosomal RNA
Rfam family: Bacterial small subunit ribosomal RNA
Source: RNAcentral